UACGGAGGGGGCUAGCGUUGUUCGGAAUUACUGGGCGUAAAGCGCACGUAGGCGGACCAGCAAGUUGGGGGUGAAAGCCCGGGGCUCAACUCCGGAACUGCCUUUAAGACUGCAUCGCUUGAAUCCAGGAGAGGUGAGUGGAAUUCCGAGUGUAGAGGUGAAAUUCGUAGAUAUUCGGAAGAACACCAGUGGCGAAGGCGGCUCACUGGACUGGUAUUGACGCUGAGGUGCGAAAGCGUGGGGAGCAAACAGG
Molecule: ribosomal RNA, 253 nt
Filed under: uncultured bacterium
Lineage: Bacteria
Description: partial 16S ribosomal RNA
Rfam family: Bacterial small subunit ribosomal RNA
Source: RNAcentral